CCUACGGGAGGCAGCAGUGGGGAAUAUUGGACAAUGGGGGCAACCCUGAUCCAGCCAUGCCGCGUGUGUGAAGAAGGCCCUCGGGUUGUAAAGCACUUUCAGUGAGGAAGAACGCCUGGUGGUUAAUACCCAUCAGGAAAGACAUCACUCACAGAAGAAGCACCGGCUAACUCCGUGCCAGCAGCCGCGGUAAUACGGAGGGUGCGAGCGUUAAUCGGAAUUACUGGGCGUAAAGCGCGCGUAGGUGGCUUGAUAAGCCGGUUGUGAAAGCCCCGGGCUCAACCUGGGAACGGCAUCCGGAACUGUCAAGCUAGAGUGCAGGAGAGGAAGGUAGAAUUCCCGGUGUAGCGGUGAAAUGCGUAGAGAUCGGGAGGAAUACCAGUGGCGAAGGCGGCCUUCUGGACUGACACUGACACUGAGGUGCGAAAGCGUGGGUAGCAAACAGGAUUAGAUCCCGGGUAGUC
Molecule: ribosomal RNA, 464 nt
Filed under: Vreelandella stevensii
Lineage: Bacteria; Pseudomonadati; Pseudomonadota; Gammaproteobacteria; Oceanospirillales; Halomonadaceae
Description: partial 16S ribosomal RNA
Rfam family: Bacterial small subunit ribosomal RNA
Source: RNAcentral